Long non-coding RNA from Gasterosteus aculeatus aculeatus (three-spined stickleback), 699 nucleotides. The record is from Ensembl. NCBI's taxonomy places the organism in Eukaryota, Metazoa, Chordata, Actinopteri, Perciformes, Gasterosteidae.
CACACUUGUGUUUCUUCUUCUUCUUCUUCUUCUUCCUCAUCUGGCUGAAUGUGAUUGGACGAGGGUUUGUGCCUGAUUGCGGUUAAUUCUGUGCUUAAUGGGAACACAAGGAUCUGUGUCAUGCUGGAUUUGUGAUGAUGAGGCUGAUGAUGAUGAUGGGAAUGAUGAGGAUGGUGGUGAUGAUGAGGAUGAUGAUGAUGUUUAGUAUUAGGGUGAUGAUGAUGAUGGUGAUGAUGAUGGUAGUGAUGAAGAUGAUGAGGAUGAUGUUUAGUAUUAGGGUGAUGAUGAGGCUGAUGAGGAUGAUGGGAAUGAUGAGGAUGGUGGUGAUGAAGAUGAUGAGGAUGAUGUUUAGUAUUAGGGUGAUGAUGAUGAUGAUGAUGAUGAUGAUGUUUAGUAUUAGGGUGAUGAUGAUGAUGAUGAUGAUGAUGAUGUGAAUGAUGAGUCCAGUUAUGAUUCAAACAUUUCCAACAUCUCCAGUGUUGUAAAGAGUCAAAAUGUAUUUAAAUAAACCCAGAAGUUCUCAUUUUGAAAAUUAAAAAACGUUUUUAAUCUCACGAGAUAAUCCGCUUCCAUCAUAUUUGUUGGUAUUCGGCCUUAAUCCCCUUUAAUGUUUGUUCUUUUCUCCCAGUCAAAUAAAUCCUUUGUUGUUUCAUUUGAAUGACAGCUCCUAAAGACACGCCCCUUUGUGGGUUGUGUUAG